UACGUAGGGGGCGAGCGUUGUCCGGAAUUACUGGGCGUAAAGGGUACGCAGGCGGUUAUGCAAGUCAGAUGUAAAAGGCAAUGGCUCAACCAAUGUAAGCAUUUGAAACUGCAUGACUUGAGUAUAGGAGAGGUAAGUGGAAUUCCUAGUGUAGCGGUGAAAUGCGUAGAUAUUAGGAGGAACACCAGUGGCGAAGGCGACUUACUGGACUAAAACUGACGCUGAGGUACGAAAGCGUGGGGAGC
RNAcentral lists this ribosomal RNA (245 nucleotides) under uncultured Dethiosulfatibacter sp. RNAcentral describes it as "partial 16S ribosomal RNA". It matches the Rfam family "Bacterial small subunit ribosomal RNA", at positions 524 to 769 of the family's 1533-position model. Lineage: Bacteria; Bacillati; Bacillota; Tissierellia. The record is from RNAcentral.